This 239-nucleotide small RNA is filed under the name Arabidopsis thaliana (thale cress). RNAcentral's name for it is "ATSL153490". The record is from RNAcentral. Lineage: Eukaryota; Viridiplantae; Streptophyta; Magnoliopsida; Brassicales; Brassicaceae.
AAGUAACUUAUUAAGGGAAAAUCUAUGGUUGCCUGAAUUUUCAGCUCAAUACUAGUUACAAUCUCAGUUUUCCACUCCAAACUUUUUGUCAAUUAAAAAACCACCAAAAAAACUUUAAACUCAUAAAACUACACGUAUUUUUGGAUUUGUUCUUAAAACUAUACCUCCAACUGAACCUAUCAGUUAACAAGUAGUCAAAGGUCAUAUUUAUGAUUACCGAAAAAUGUAUGUUUUGUUUC